UGGGGAAUAUUGGACAAUGGGGGCAACCCUGAUCCAGCCAUGCCGCGUGCGUGAAGAAGGCCUUAGGGUUGUAAAGCGCUUUCAGCGGGGACGAUGAUGACGGUACCCGCAGAAGAAGCCCCGGCUAACUCCGUGCCAGCAGCCGCGGUAAUACGGAGGGGGCGAGCGUUGUCCGGAAUUAUUGGGCGUAAAGAGCGUGUAGGCGGCUUGGUAAGUCUGUCGUGAAAUGCUGGGGCUCAACCCUGGACGUGCGAUGGAUACUGCUAGGCUAGAGGAUGGUAGAGGCGAGUGGAAUUCCCGGUGUAGCGGUGAAAUGCGCAGAUAUCGGGAGGAACACCAGUAGCGAAGGCGGCUCGCUGGGCCAUUCCUGACGCUGAGACGCGAAAGCGUGGGGAGCAAACAGGAUUAGAUACCCGUGUAGUCC
This 424-nucleotide ribosomal RNA is filed under the name uncultured prokaryote. Its description in RNAcentral is "bacterial SSU rRNA". It matches the Rfam family "Bacterial small subunit ribosomal RNA", at positions 355 to 796 of the family's 1533-position model. The record is from RNAcentral.